Molecule: long non-coding RNA, 356 nt
Filed under: Helianthus annuus (common sunflower)
Lineage: Eukaryota; Viridiplantae; Streptophyta; Magnoliopsida; Asterales; Asteraceae
Description: sRNA HanXRQr2_Chr13g0571721
Source: RNAcentral
GGUGAACAUUGUAUACGCAGAUUAGUUUCGUGAAAUGGGAAGUAAAGGAGAAGCAGAAGAAAGAAUCCUUGAUCUGAACCCAAAUAAAGAUAAAAGAUAAGCGGUAGAACUGAAUUGGGGAUGCAGGUGCUGCUAAUGUAGAACCGUGGAUGAAGCAGAGGAAGACCAAAGAAGAAAGUUGUGAGAUGUAGGAUUCUACAAUCUACAUCCAUCGCUUUUUGACAGAUACAUACUACAUCAUGAUUACUUGAAGUUGCAUUAGUUAUGGUGGUGGUCCUUGAGUCAAUUGGAGCAGCGAGAUGAGACGAAUUUUGACCGAUGGCAGCCUCGCGGUGGCUGUUUGAACCAGAAUCGGU